GACGAACGCUGGCGGCGUGCUUAACACAUGCAAGUCGAACGGAAAGGCCCUUCGGGGUACUCGAGUGGCGAACGGGUGAGUAACACGUGGGUGAUCUGCCCUGCACUCUGGGAUAAGCCUGGGAAACUGGGUCUAAUACCGGAUAUGAUCAUGCGCCUCAUGGUGUGUGGUGGAAAGCUUUUGCGGUGUGGGAUGGGCCCGCGGCCUAUCAGCUUGUUGGUGGGGUAAUGGCCUACCAAGGCGACGACGGGUAGCCGGCCUGAGAGGGUGACCGGCCACACUGGGACUGAGAUACGGCCCAGACUCCUACGGGAGGCAGCAGUGGGGAAUAUUGCACAAUGGGCGCAAGCCUGAUGCAGCGACGCCGCGUGGGGGAGUGACGGCCUCGGUUGUAACGUAC
RNAcentral lists this ribosomal RNA (400 nucleotides) under uncultured bacterium. RNAcentral's name for it is "bacterial SSU rRNA". It matches the Rfam family "Bacterial small subunit ribosomal RNA", at positions 28 to 432 of the family's 1533-position model. The record is from RNAcentral.